Non-coding RNA from Felis catus (domestic cat), 85 nucleotides. NCBI's taxonomy places the organism in Eukaryota, Metazoa, Chordata, Mammalia, Carnivora, Felidae. The record is from Rfam.
GCCUGAGUGGCUCAGUCGGUUAAGCGUCUGACUUCGGCUCAGGUCAUGACCUCCCGGUUCGGGAGUUCGAGCCCCGCAUCGGGCU